This 130-nucleotide ribosomal RNA is filed under the name uncultured bacterium. RNAcentral describes it as "partial 23S ribosomal RNA". It matches the Rfam family "Bacterial large subunit ribosomal RNA", at positions 1 to 129 of the family's 2925-position model. The record is from RNAcentral.
GGUCAAGCUACUAAGGGUGUGUGUGUGGAUGCCUUGGCGCAAGUAGGCGAUGAAGGACGUGGUCAGCUGCGAAAAGCUCCGGGAAGUCGCUAACAGGCUGUGAUCCGGAGAUGUCCGAAUGGGGCAACCC